CUCUCCUUCGCAUCCUGCCAGCCCAGUUUUCUCUUCUGCUCCUGGCCUUCCUCAGCCCUCCUAGGGGAAUGAGGAGAAAGCUGACGAAGCUUUUCCUUCAAAAGCUCCCUGUGUGCCUCUCUGGUGCUGUGAUGAUUUGCUGGAAUGCAACCACUCAACCUCUGUUUCCGUCACAUCCCUGACCUCCAAGUUGUAGAAAUCGGUUCCAGGCAGUGCCAGCUCCUAAAAGAUAACAAAGCUAUGCUAUUAUGGAAGCAAAGAGGAAACAGAAGACUGGGGAGAGGGAGGGGAAGAAAUACCACACAAACUUUCAUGGAAAUCCAGUGUCCUUGAGUUGCAGGUAUUGCCCCAGAGACAACUGCCAGGAUGCUUCUGGCCUCAAAUGACAUUCUGAAGA
Molecule: long non-coding RNA, 397 nt
Organism: Balaenoptera musculus (blue whale)
Lineage: Eukaryota; Metazoa; Chordata; Mammalia; Artiodactyla; Balaenopteridae
Exons: 3
Source: RefSeq, a predicted model, not a curated record